UGGAGGACCGAACCGACUAAUGUUGAAAAAUUAGCGGAUGACCUGUGGCUGGGGGUGAAAGGCCAAUCAAACCGGGAGAUAGCUGGUUCUCCCCGAAAGCUAUUUAGGUAGCGCCUCGUGAAUUCAUCUCCGGGGGUAGAGCACUGUUUCGGCUAGGGGGCCAUCCCGGCUUACCAACCCGAUGCAAACUGCGAAUACCGGAGAAUGUUAUCACGGGAGACACACGGCGGGUGCUAACGUCCGUCGUGAAGAGGGAAACAACCCAGACCGCCAGCUAAGGUCCCAAAGUCAUGGUUAAGUGGGAAACGAUGUGGGAAGGCCCAGACAGCCAGGAUGUUGGCUUAGAAGCAGCCAUCAUUUAAAGAAAGCGUAAUAGCUCACUGGUCGAGUCGGCCUGCGCGGAAGAUGUAACGGGGCUAAACCAUGCACCGAAGCUGCGGCAGCGAC
This 447-nucleotide ribosomal RNA is filed under the name Salmonella enterica subsp. enterica serovar Enteritidis. RNAcentral describes it as "partial 23S ribosomal RNA". It matches the Rfam family "Bacterial large subunit ribosomal RNA", at positions 767 to 1212 of the family's 2925-position model. The record is from RNAcentral. Lineage: Bacteria; Pseudomonadati; Pseudomonadota; Gammaproteobacteria; Enterobacterales; Enterobacteriaceae.